AUUAAUAUUGUUGGGUAAUGCCCAAAAAUCAACUAUGUCUUCUAAAUUAUUUUAGAUACAACACCCAAUUUUUCGCUUCAAUUAGAACAUGGUUUGACGUCUUGAUGCAGUGAGUAAAGUUAGUAUAAAUGAUUUAACAUAAGUGGUUGAUUGGAACACAAAAAGCAUCACCCUACACUAAGUAUUCGUGUUGAUGACAAAGGCUUAAUAUCUAUCUAUGAUUAUUUCCCCAAGGGCAACUUAGAGGAACACUAAUCAAUUUUAGCAAAGCAAGUGAGAUACAGAUCAAGAAGUGGAGCCAUUUAACUCUUCUGCUUCUUCUUCUUAUACUUUCUUUUAUCCUGUACCCAUUACCAUCAUCAUCAUCUUCAAUAUUCAAGCAUAGAUUAAUAAAAAACAGAACCAUCUUCAACAAAACAAGCAUGAACAAAAUAUCAUACAAAACCAAAUACUUUCAACAAAGUCUUCCAACUUUCCCUCAACGUUACCUACUCCACCCAGAUUACUAGGAUCCUUCUUCAGCGGGUCCCAUCUUCUAUUGUGGCAAUAAAGGUGACAUCCACAAACGUGUAAUUUGCAUACAUAAGAUCAAGAUGAGGUUCAAUAUCCAUCAUCAUAUACACAAAGGAGCUACAUAUAAAUUGGUUAUUUACUCUCAGAUAUUUAGUACAUUCAAAAGUUUCUAUGAGCAUAAUUAUCACAAGACGAGGAACUCAAGUCACUUCGACAUGGUGUGCGGAUGCCCAUCACUGUGGCUAUUGAUCAAUUCAGCCACCCAAUCCUAGCCACCGCAAAAAGGGAAUGGCAAUCAUAUCAUUGACGUUGGAAAUAAGAGGAUAUAGUGAAAUUCCAAGUCAAAAAGAGAUUGAAUAUCAAGGCUUAUAAAAUUGCAGAAAAGUUACAAAUAAGCUAAAAGGCAACCAUCAUGAAGUGAGCAGAAUAAAAUUAGAAAAGUGAUUCAACCAUGGAUUAUCAAUAGACAGAAAUUCAAAAGUAGCAGCAGAGGAGAUGUAUCAGAAAUAUCUACCUAUUAAGCUAUCUCAAUUUCAGAUACACAUCAUCAUUAUCAGCAUAAAAUAGAGCAUUCAUGGGCAGCCUUAAAUCAGAGUAAAAAAGGGGCAAGCUGAAGCAAUUAAGCAGGCCAAUAAAUAUCCAGUCUCAGUUGUGAAUCAGCAAAUGAGGAGUAUAAUAAAGCAGAAAGGAAACAGAAGUAUACAAAUCAAAGACCAAUCCCCUCAGUUACAGAAUUCAAUAGGCUAAAUGUAAAGGGCAGGUGAACCAAAUUUCUGUUACGUAUUCAGAGUCAUUCAGGCAACUUUAAUACAGUAAUCAGUAUGCAAUAAUCAGCAGGAACAAGCAAGCAGUUUAAUAACACAAGAGUCAUGGCUAUUGGUAACCCAAGAGAUCCAGCUAAUCAGCUAUAAAAGGCAUACAACCACAACCAAAGGGGGGAUACACCACGAUACAGAAAUCAGAGAGAGAGGAUUUCAGAGAAAAGGGCAGAAAUAUAGAUAAAGAGUGACAUUCGAAUAGAUUCAAUAUCAUACCAGUUCCAAGGAGCAAUCACUAUACACAUAUCUAAACAAAAGCAAUCUGAAUAUAGAGCUAUACAUCACAGGCGCCAUAAACCAAGAAGGCAGAGCAACACAAACUGAAAACAGUAAGCAAAAAGAAAUCACAGAGAGGUAUCAACAACCGGAAGACCAAGUUGGCGAUAGAGAACGGUGUGGAUAAUCUUGAAACACAGAAACAGAACGAGAAAUCAGGAACAGGAGAUUGGCUUUUACACAACAAAGGCUAAAGGUAUACCUCCAGGUAAUCCAUUUAUUCCUCUCAUUCAAGCAAUUAUAAACAGAAAAUGUUCUUCUUCAUCAUGUGUUCGGAGCAUCAAACUAGAUACAUAUGUUCAUCUAAACAGUUGUAAACAAGUAGCCCUCACUCUAAUUUAUGUCAUAUAUAUCAAAUGAAAUGCAUACAGUGACUGAAACGUCUUGAAAGACAUUUCUAUGUUCUUUACAAGCCUACAACCAUGAAAUAAACUCAGAACUUUGCUAAAAAAUGGCUAGAAUGUCAGAUUCAAACAUAAGACAUAUUCACUCGGCUUCAACAGGGAUAAAUAUCCAUAAACAAGAAAUAGAUAGUAUAACACGAUAGCAUAAUUUCGGAUAAAUGCUUGCCGAGAUUAGUCACACUUAAUCAUCCAAUCUCAAGCCAAAAGAAUAAAAUAGAAAAGGAGCAGGGUUAGUUACUAGACCCAUUGCGUUGAUGCCGAUUCCGAAUCCCUAUCUCGUCUCGGUGACCACCGCGAGAACAAGGGAAUCAUAAAAGAAAAAUAAAAGAAGGAUAUGGUACCUUACGGGUUCUCCUCGCCUCCAUCCACCAUGAUAAACGGUGGUUCCCACCGUGGCUGCCGCCUUCAUCAAUCGAAGCCCUCACCGAAGAGGAAGGGAUGGAGGAGGUGAUUGUCCAUUCUUCAAGCCGCCAUCAUGAUCCUCACCUCCGCUGGAGAAUCACUCACCAUUGCCGCCUCUCACCGCCGUUAAUCACCUCUCACCGCCGUUAAUAACCUCUCUCCACUACCAUCGUGAAAGAAGCCAAGGGGGGAGAGGAUGAAAGAGGUAUAGUGUGUUAGGGAAAAUCCCUUUUGGGACUUUAGGUUCUAAACAACCCGUAUGCCCCCACCCCACUUAUUUUUGUUAUGUUUAUUAGUGUUGCUUUUUAUUUGUGUAUUAU
RNAcentral lists this long non-coding RNA (2733 nucleotides) under Lupinus angustifolius (narrow-leaved blue lupine). RNAcentral's name for it is "long non-coding RNA (LANG_LNC001903)". Lineage: Eukaryota; Viridiplantae; Streptophyta; Magnoliopsida; Fabales; Fabaceae. The record is from RNAcentral.